UACGAAGGGGGCUAGCAUUGCUCGGAAUCACUUGGGCGUAAAGCGCACGUAGGCGGCUUUUUUAAGUCAGGGGUGAAAUCCUGGAGCUCAACUCCAGAACUCGCCUUUUGAUACUGAGAGCUUUUGAGUCCGGGAGAGGUGAGUAGGAACGUGCGAGUGUAGAGGUGAAAUUCGUAGAUAUUCGUCGAAGAACACCAGUGGCGAAAGGCGGCUUCACUGGCCCGGUACUGACGCUGAGGUGCGAAAGCGUGGGGAGCAAACAGG
This 264-nucleotide ribosomal RNA is filed under the name uncultured bacterium. RNAcentral describes it as "partial 16S ribosomal RNA". It matches the Rfam family "Bacterial small subunit ribosomal RNA", at positions 524 to 776 of the family's 1533-position model. The record is from RNAcentral.